This 2691-nucleotide unclassified non-coding RNA is filed under the name Leishmania donovani. Its description in RNAcentral is "gene:LdHU3.06.1280(CDS-product:hypothetical_prote in_conserved)". The record is from RNAcentral. Lineage: Eukaryota; Euglenozoa; Kinetoplastea; Trypanosomatida; Trypanosomatidae.
CCCGCUCUUGCUCUCGCGCGCUUUUUCUCGGUGCCUCUUUUCCUCCGCUUGCCGCUGAACCAGACGUGCUCAUUGGCCUGCCGCCCCGCCUCCCCCCCUUCAGAGCCGGCACGUGGGUUUGCUGCCCGCCCCCCCUCCUACCACCCCUCACUUUCCCAAGCGCUUCAUCUCCCUCUUCGCUUCUGCAUGAUGCCCCUGGAGCGUAUGCAGGUGCGGCGGCCGCCGCGCGGUGUAGAGGCGCCGGGCGACGGUCGUGGUCUUCCUGCAGCUGCUGUUCGCGGCGCGACCGCCCAAGCAACGACCACGACGGAGAGCAGUCGCUCCCACUCGCCAACCGGCACGGCGACGUCGACGGCGUCGUCUUCCUCGGCGCUGCUGCAGCAAGGCACGCUCGCUCAGCAGGCGCGCCGCUACGAGGACGAGAACAUUCGAUCGCUGCUUCAUCAGCUGCCCAGCUCACCGAAGCAGCUGAUGCGACGCCUGGAGCAGCAGCAGCAGGAAAUCAAUAUGCUCAAGGAGACGAACAUGCUCCUCAAGUCACGUGAGGUCGAGAUCUCGUCGCUGACGCUGCGGCUGCAGGAGCGCAUCAACGCUACCCAGAGCCAGGUCGAUCACAUCAAAACACAGGUUCAUCUGCAGCUGUCCAACCCGAUCACGGAGGAAGAGUAUCAGCGCAUCGAGUCGCUCACAGAGGCGCAGCGCGACCUCGUCGACGUCAUGAAGCUUGGCAUCUAUCGUCAGCUCGGAUCCCUGCGCGCGUCGCAGCAGGCGGCAACGAAGCGGGCCGCCGAGCUGAGCACGUCGCUGGCGCAACUGCAGCAGGAGAACAGCGACAUGAAGGUGCGCCUGGCCGAGUGCGAGUCCCAAGGCGGGACGGAAAAGGAGAAGGCGGAGAGGAUGGCGCGGCAGAUCGAAAACCAGCAGGCUCGCAUCGCUGAGCUGGAGGGCCACAUCGCGUCCCUCGAGGCAAAGAACAGGUCCAUGUACGUGGAUCAGGAGCAGUUCCUCUCGGCGAAGCUGACGGCACAGAUCAAGACGGACGAAGUGGCGCGUCUGUCGGUGCGGCUGGAGGAGUCGGAGAUGGACACGCAGCGGUACCGCGCCAAUGCCGAGUGCACGGAGCAGAAGCUGGACAUCCUGAAGUCAGAGUACUACGAGUUGAAGCUGCGCAACGGACAGCGUGUUCUCGAGCUCGAGAACGCCUUGAAGGCGUCGGAGGAGAAGCUCAAGACACUCGGCGACCUCGAGAUGGAGUCGCAGUUGUUCAUCUCCAAUCUGGCGACAUCCUCGCAGGGCGAUGUGGCCUUCAGCACUGACCCCGCAGACACGUCCGCUGGUCGUCCGACAGACGCUUACGAAGGGUGGCUUGCCCUGCCCCGCUCCCGCAAGCUGGCUCACACCCUUGUUGUCACGAAGCGCUGCCUGCACUUGGAGAACAAGGUUGCGGCGCUGGAGCACGACCUCAACUUCAAGCAAGCGCAAGUGGCUCGCCUGCAGGUCGCCCUCGACGGCGCCCGCGACGCGCUGCAUAACAUCAACAGCCCCUACGUGCUCGUGGAGAAGGCGAUGACGGAGCUUACGGACGAGAACGAGGCGCUGAAGCAGAAGGUGAACAUCCUGGAGCAAGACAAGAAGGAGCUGCAGCUCAAGGUGCAGCAAUAUGGAAGCAGCCUGCGCACCUUGACGCACCAUCGCCAAGAGCUACUUCGCAUCAAGAAGCUACUUCGUCAGCUGGGGCUUCGCGAAGGAUUCGUGCUCCCCACGGUCGACGAGGAGACGAGGCAGAUGGAGAGUCAGCAGCCUGAAACUGGGAAAACGCGGCACACGCGUAGUGGGAGUGCAAGCGGCGGUGACUUCACCUCCUCCACACAGCCAAGGGCGUCGAUGGGGUCAUCGGCCAGCGAGGCGCGCCGCGCUUUUGGCAAGGAGUCGCCUGGCUCGUUCGGCGCUCUUCGGCCAAUCGAGAUGACUUUUUGAGCGGCGGCACGCUGACGAUGCGCGUGCGUCUCGCGUUGUCGUUGCCACAUAGAAGAACGGCUGGGCGGGGGCCGGGCGGGAGUGGGGGAAUCGUUUUCGGAGCACGCCAAUGCGGGACUCGGAGCGACGCGCACAGAUGCCGUCGCAUCAUUCACUGGUUCCUAUUGCACUUGCACUUCACGGGAGCUCCGCCUGCGGGCAGAAGCGAGCGAACGGGAAGAAGGACUCUUCCCGCCUGCGCCCUCCUCUCUGUGCCUCCGCACUCCCCAGCCACUAUAGACCAUGUGAUGUCUGCUUGUUCGUGUAGGUGUAUGUCUGUGAGUGCCGAUGUGGUGUUUUGCGUGCACCAAUCCUCUGUGCACCUGUACGGCGGUUACGAGGAACGCGCGACGAGUGCCACACGCUCGCGCUUGCGGGUAGCGUGGGCAUGAGAGGGUGGCGCAUGUGGUGCGCACGGAGAGAACGACGGGUGUGCGACUGGGGAACGGGAAGGGGAGGGGGAGGGCGGCAUCAGCACACUCUGCUGCCGGUGGCGCUUCCUCCUGUUUGCCUUCCACUCACUUAUGUGUCUCCCUGCCGCCGCCUCGACAGGGCCCCCUCAGCACGACCACGCAUCGAUGUAUCGCCCGUGCCUCCCUAUCACGCGGGUCAACCUCUCUCGGCGUUCGUCCCAGAUCGGCCUCCAGGCACGAAGGCAUCAGGUCUAUGGCUAAG